This 253-nucleotide ribosomal RNA is filed under the name uncultured bacterium. Its description in RNAcentral is "partial 16S ribosomal RNA". It matches the Rfam family "Bacterial small subunit ribosomal RNA", at positions 524 to 776 of the family's 1533-position model. The record is from RNAcentral.
UACGUAGGGGGCAAGCGUUGUCCGGAAUCCUUGGGCGUAAAGAGCGUGUAGGCGGCUCGGUAAGUCCGCUCUGAAAGCCCGGGGCUCAACCCCGGGAGGCGGGCGGAUACUGUCGGGCUAGAGUCCGGAAGAGGCGAGUGGAAUUCCUGGUGUAGCGGUGAAAUGCGCAGAUAUCAGGAGGAACACCAAUGGCGAAGGCAGCUCGCUGGGACGGUACUGACGCUGAGACGCGAAAGCGUGGGGAGCAAACAGG